AUUUUGAUUAACUUAUGCAGGUGCUUAAAAAGUAUCACAUAUAUCGUGUAGAGCUACUAUAUACUAUCGAAAGUAUAAGAGAGCUGAUGCUUUCGAUUUUUUAGCUCUUAGAUCUAAAAUUGUAAAACCAGAUGAUAGUGGAUUUAGGAUUGAGUCGUCCCUUCAGGGUCGAGUGGUCUCCCUAAAAAAAUAAUAUUAAUCCAAAAGUCAAAAGUGGUCAAAAUGGCUAAUCCAAAAGCUAAAAAGUUGAAAGCACGAACUCCCUUAUACUUUCAAAAAUACAGCAGCUACUCUGUAUAUAUUUGUCAACAAAUCAGCACCCUACAACGACAAUAUUAAGAAUUUUAUUUUUUUGAUUUUACAUAUUUGAGUUUAAAAAAAAA
This 383-nucleotide long non-coding RNA is filed under the name Ananas comosus (pineapple). Its description in RNAcentral is "long non-coding RNA (ACOM_LNC023703)". Lineage: Eukaryota; Viridiplantae; Streptophyta; Magnoliopsida; Poales; Bromeliaceae. The record is from RNAcentral.